Molecule: transfer RNA, 63 nt
Filed under: Neobenedenia melleni
Lineage: Eukaryota; Metazoa; Platyhelminthes; Monogenea; Capsalidea; Capsalidae
Description: tRNA-Asp
Source: RNAcentral
ACAAACUUAGUUUAAAAAAAAUAUUAAUUUGUCGUAUUAAAGAUGCAGAUAAUGUAGUUUGUU